GAGGAGAGCUGAAGGUACUGUAUGAAUACGCACCGGCUAACUCCGUGCCAGCAGCCGCGGUAAUACGGAGGGUGCAAGCGUUAUCCGGAUUUAUUGGGUUUAAAGGGUCCGUAGGCGGGUUCGUAAGUCAGUGGUGAAAUCCUACAGCUUAACUGUAGAACUGCCAUUGAUACUGCGAGUCUUGAGUGUAGUUGAGGUAGCUGGAAUGAGUAGUGUAGCGGUGAAAUGCAUAGAUAUUACUCAGAACACCAAUUGCGAAGGCAGGUUACCAAGUUACAACUGACGCUGAUGGACGAAAGCGUGGGGAG
RNAcentral lists this ribosomal RNA (308 nucleotides) under uncultured bacterium. Its description in RNAcentral is "bacterial SSU rRNA". It matches the Rfam family "Bacterial small subunit ribosomal RNA", at positions 461 to 768 of the family's 1533-position model. The record is from RNAcentral.